UGAACUGGCAAAAUGCAGUCUUCGCCUUGGCAGUGCGCCGCCGGACAGGGCCCCGUGCCCAUCCCGGAUGAGUGCACUCGAGCUUUCCGUGCGCAAGUAUCGAGAGCAGCCUGACAAAAGCGUAAUACGACCAGAGCUAGGCCUUAGCUUCGAUUCUUUGGGCGAGGCAUAUGAUUUCUAUAAUCUGUACUCAGUACUCCUGGGAGAUCGGGUUUGGAAUAAGAUACAGCAAGAGCCGUCUAAAUGCUGGAAGAACGAAAUGCAUGCAAGAAAUCGUCCGUGGUUGCUCAGGAAAACCAGAAGCCGAGAACAGCAAGUCGUGCAGAUGCGAGUGCCCAGCACUAAUCAGACUUCUGCGUGCAUGAGCUGAUUCGCAUUUCUGGGACAGCUAUGCGUCAGCAGCUCCUUGAGCCGCGAGCACUCGAUCACGAGCUCGCGUCUAUCAUCAUAAGAAGGUACACUCAAUCCGACCAGGAAGCUACUUCAGACUUCAGAGUGCCCAUACAUGAAAUGGAGGCACAAUAUGGAGCCUGGAUUCACGACGAUUGUAUUAGCGGACCAUGAAUAUGUCACCAACAUUUCAAUCCAGGACCAGCUUGUUGGAAAGGAUAUCCCUUAUGACAUAACCUCAUCUCAGAUGUUCUUUCUACCAGUUCCACUCGAAGAAGGGUGGAUACUUCUGAUGUGGGACAUGAUUCAAGGAAACUCCAUGUCAUUGACCCCUUCAUCAAAGGUGACGGCCCAAGCGAAGCAUCAAAAGAUAAGCAUGAAAUGAUUGCCUGGAAGCUGCACCAUGCAUUAUUCCAGUGCCUUAAUGAGUAUUAUGCUGGAUGGCCUACGCAAGGUGGUCAGUGGGUGACCAAGUACCCGGUUGUAGCGGAAGAAACUUUUACUAAGGGUGAAACUGGAGCUUGCGUGCUUCAUGUUGUCAGGCACUAUGACCGCUCUAAGUUGAAGAUCCCGCUAACAAAGAACAACUUCGACAAAACAAAAAAGCAAGCACUACAUGAGUGCCUUAAACUACAGGGGAACUCGUCAAAGUUGGCGCACAAUGAACUCUGGACGGUACUAGCACCCAGUGACUCAUGGCUUGACUCCAGCUAGUCCAUUUAGUGGGAAAAUAUAGUCUCCCAAAAGGAUAUGAGUGCCGUGUGACGGUAUUUUCUUUCUUGUGCCGUGUGACGGUAUUUUCUUUCUUGUGCCGUGUGACGGUAUCCAUGAAUGUUUUUCUUUUCCCUUCUUAUUUACCGUAACCCCAUGCUUUAUGCGAGGGCUAUAUUUAAAUUCGACGAUGUAGAACCAGAUACAUCAUUAUGCCUGUAAG
Long non-coding RNA from Triticum aestivum (bread wheat), 1324 nucleotides. RefSeq lists it as uncharacterized. The transcript is spliced from 6 exons. NCBI's taxonomy places the organism in Eukaryota, Viridiplantae, Streptophyta, Magnoliopsida, Poales, Poaceae. The record is from RefSeq and is a predicted model, not a curated record.